CAGUCUCUUAAUAAGUCUGGGAUUAGGGGUGGCAAGUACAGUGUCAGCCGCCGCGGUAAUACCGGCGCCUCAAGUGGUAGUCGAUUUUAUUGAGCCUAAAACGUCCGUAGCCGGUUUGGUAAUUUUUUGGGUAAAUCAACUCGCUCAACGGGUUGAAUUCUGCGAGCACGGCCAGACUUGGGACCGGGAGAGGUGUGGGGUACUCUCAGGGUAGGGGUAAAAUCCUGUCAUCCUGAGAGGACCACCUGUUGCGAAGGCUCCACACUAGAACGGAUCCGACGGUCAGGGACGAAGCCUAGGGGCACGAACCGGAUUAGAUACCCGGGUAGUCCUAGGUGUAAACGCUGUGGACUUGAUGUUGGGGACGCUCCGAGCCUUCUCAGUGUCGAAGCGAAGGUGGUAAGUUCAAAACCUGGGGAGUACGGUCGCAAGUAUGAAACUUAAAGGAAUUGACGGGGGAGCACCGCAACAUGCUGGAUUGUGCGCUUUAAUUCGACUCAACUCCGGGAAUC
RNAcentral lists this ribosomal RNA (512 nucleotides) under uncultured Candidatus Poseidoniales archaeon. Its description in RNAcentral is "bacterial SSU rRNA". It matches the Rfam family "Archaeal small subunit ribosomal RNA", at positions 413 to 926 of the family's 1478-position model. Lineage: Archaea; Methanobacteriati; Thermoplasmatota; Candidatus Poseidoniia; Candidatus Poseidoniales. The record is from RNAcentral.